GUCUCCUAAUAUUAAAAUACCAAAUAAACACUUGAGUGAAAUUUUGUUUGCCCUGUAUCACCUUCACUCCCUCACUCACGCAAUACACACCCUCCUCCUCACUCAACACACACGAAGAAAUCAGAAAGCUAAGGGGGAGAACAGGAAGAAGAAGAGAGGAGAGGGAAGGAAGAACGAUGGCGGCUAACUGGCUAGGGAUCUGCCGUCGUCGUCGUCGAAUGCCAGUGAGAGAGAGAGAGAGCUCGAGGAAGAGAAAACGCAAUGGAGGAGAGAAGAAAGGAGUGCUCCGUCGCCGUUGAAGCUCCACCGCCGCUGCUAGGGCUUGUUGUCGUCGCCGUUCUGCCACCGCCAGGCUGAUGUACCGCCGCCGAGGAUCUCGAAUGGGAUGUCUCACCGCCGUUGUGCUCUGUCGCCGCGCUGCCAUCGACUGGAGCUCGUCGCUGAGUUGCUGCACCGUCUCCAAGCCGUUACGUCGCCGCUCAUCUCUUCUUCACCGUCGCCGCUCAUCACCAUGGUCGUAUCCUCUGUCACCAGAUAUAGAAAAACUUUAAGGGACGAUGAACAAAGAUUUUAACAGGGUCGCUAUUCUAUAGCAUCUGCAGUUCUGCUCUUAAAGGUGAUAGCCGUAGCAGUAGCAAUUGGUGUUGAAAUACAUGCAAUUUUUCAUCUUUCUUGCGACUUCCUUCGCCUCCUUCGUGCAAGCCCUCAAAAGUACAAGCCACACCUUGGUUCAGGAGAAACAGGAUUAAGCUUCCUAAACCACUCAACAGUCUAACUGGCUUCAAUGCAUUUUGGUACUCACAUCAUCUCUUUGUCAUUGUCUAUGCCUCGUUGAUUGUUCAUGGAAUCAAACUUUUCUUUACCAAAGAGUGGUACGAGAAAACGGGGUCUGAUUUAGAUAGUUUAUUAGAGUAGAAUAAUGUAACAUCUUCAGGCGGCCGU
This is a non-coding RNA of Arachis ipaensis, 942 nucleotides long. NCBI's taxonomy places the organism in Eukaryota, Viridiplantae, Streptophyta, Magnoliopsida, Fabales, Fabaceae. The record is from RefSeq and is a predicted model, not a curated record.